RNAcentral lists this ribosomal RNA (301 nucleotides) under uncultured bacterium. RNAcentral's name for it is "partial 16S ribosomal RNA". It matches the Rfam family "Bacterial small subunit ribosomal RNA", at positions 509 to 807 of the family's 1533-position model. The record is from RNAcentral.
CAGUCGCCGCGGUAAUACGUAGGUCCCGAGCGUUGUCCGGAUUUAUUGGGCGUAAAGCGAGCGCAGGCGGUUAGAUAAGUCUGAUGUGAAAGCCCCCGGCUCAACCGGGGAGGGUCAUUGGAAACUGGGAAACUUGAGUGCAGAAGAGGAGAGUGGAAUUCCACGUGUAGCGGCGAAAUGCGUAGAGAUGUGGAGGAACACCAGUGGCGAAGGCGACUCUCUGGUCUGUAACUGACGCUGAGGAGCGAAAGCGUGGGGAGCGAACAGGAUUAGAUACCCCCGUAGUCCCUGUCUCUUAUAC